GAUUUGUCUACAGAAAUCCUCGGAUACCGGUACUCACGGUAUACGCGAGCUCCUAUGUAAGGGCUAAGGCGCGCGCCCCCGCGGGCUGCUUAAACUUCUUAGGCUACAAAUGCACAUGAAGCUAUUGCAAUCGAUGGGUGCAGGAAUCGUCAGUUUCAUUCAGCUGUAUUUUGCAUUAUUCUCACUAUUAUUGUUGUGUCGAAAAAAAUGCAAUCUAACAAACUUUUUCGUGACAAAAAAAAAGAGUAAAGUUACAUCGAUUUGCUAUCGAGAAACUUGAAGCUUUUCGAAGGACACUAGGAAGGUGGGAUUUGCCUAUUCCUUGGGAGCCUACUUAGGUAAAAGCGAUCGUCAGUUCUAAUUGGGCCAACCGUGUGGAAUCCACCUCAAUUUCCCACCAUUUCCCCCGCCUUCUCACAUGGUGACGUGGAUACAUGCUUUUUUUAUGUUUUACACGUCACCGGCAAGUACCGCCUCCUGAAGUAACGGGACCGAUGAGUUGGGGAGGCUGUUGGAGAUAGGUGCAGAAGAGGUGGCUUUUACCAGGAUUUCAGCUGUAACGUGGAAUGGGUUCAGAGUUUCAUAUCUACAGAGCUUCAGUGACAGAAGUUACAGCUCAGCUAAAAGAAAGAACCUUAUGAUAAAGAAAUGCAGCAUUGCUGGAAUUGGUGCAGUAGUGACUUGUAUGGCAUUCAAAUUCGUCAUGAAUUCUGCAGAGGUUUGAGAAUUUAUUAGCGUGAAGAACUUUACAAAGAUUGUAAGGAUGCAGCUGUUCAGAAUCUAAGUCAGACAUUUUGAAAAAUUAAAUCUUUUGCUUUUUUAAGGCUUAUACUUGUGCUCAGACUAGCAAAACAUUGAGAACCAUAGACUGUUACUUUGAUCAAAAGCUAUAUUGCCCAAACUGUGUUGGAACUUUCUGAUUAUCUUAAAUGUUUUGCUUUGGAGGAUGUUAUCUGAAUUAAAAAAAAAAAAUUUGACCUAAACUUAGCAGGAAAUGAAGUGCCAGGACUUC
Molecule: long non-coding RNA, 1012 nt
Organism: Protopterus annectens (West African lungfish)
Lineage: Eukaryota; Metazoa; Chordata; Ceratodontiformes; Protopteridae
Exons: 3
Source: RefSeq, a predicted model, not a curated record